UACAGAGGGGGCAAGCGUUAUCCGGAUUCACUGGGUUUAAAGGGUGCGUAGGCGGGUAAGUAAGUCCGUGGUGAAAUCUCUGAGCUUAACUCAGAAACUGCCGUGGAUACUAUUUGCCUUGAAUAUUGUGGAGGUGAGCGGAAUAUGUCAUGUAGCGGUGAAAUGCUUAGAUAUGACAUAGAACACCAAUUGCGAAGGCAGCUCACUACACAAUCAUUGACGCUGAGGCACGGAAGCGUGGGGAUCAAACAGG
This 253-nucleotide ribosomal RNA is filed under the name uncultured bacterium. RNAcentral's name for it is "partial 16S ribosomal RNA". It matches the Rfam family "Bacterial small subunit ribosomal RNA", at positions 524 to 776 of the family's 1533-position model. The record is from RNAcentral.